CCUACGGGUGGCAGCAGUAGGGAAUAUUGCUCAAUGGGGGAAACCCUGAAGCAGCAACGCCGCGUGGAGGAUGAAGGUUUUCGGAUUGUAAACUCCUUUUGUUAGAGAAGAUAAUGACGGUAUCUAAUGAAUAAGCACCGGCUACCUCCGUGCCAGCAGCCGCGGUAAUACGGAGGGUGCAAGCGUUACUCGGAAUCACUGGGCGUAAGGGGGGCGUAGGCGGGUUAGGAAGUCAGAUGUGAAAUCCUAUGGCUUAACCAUAGAACUGCGAUUGAAACUGUUAGUCUGGAGUGUGGGAGGGGUAGGUGGAAUUUUUGGUGUAGGGGUGAAAUCCGUAGAUAUCAAGAGGAACACUCAUUGCGAAGGCGACCUGCUAGAACGUAACUGACGCUGAUGCACGAAAGCGUGGGGAGCAAACAGGAUUAGAUACCCGGGUAGUC
Molecule: ribosomal RNA, 440 nt
Filed under: uncultured bacterium
Lineage: Bacteria
Description: partial 16S ribosomal RNA
Rfam family: Bacterial small subunit ribosomal RNA
Source: RNAcentral